AAAUCUGUUUGUCACCUUGGGGGCAAAACAAUGGUAGGCAAAUUCAUCCAUCUCACAGAAUUCCUGCCAUCAUCCUCUCUACAGUUUUGGUUUUUUUCCCCUUUUCCACUACAUGUGUGUAGAGAACAGCAGAAUGACGAAAGAUGGAAUAAGAAUGACUUGAUUGACAAAUUCAGUAGAUAUUAUAUAGUGAACACAUUCUCCAGAAUUGUUUAGCAACAAGAUUUAUCUUGUGUAAAUAAGAUGGAGAAUUUCAGCAUGGCAUGGAACCAUUUCUGUCCAUCUGGCUUUGAAAGGAAAUUAUGUGGGGAAACUAGAAUUACACUUCAAGCAAUAAAAAAAUGAACCACUGAAAUGAUAUCAGUAAGAUUAAAACAAACAAACAAAAGAGAAUCCUGACUAGCACUAUUUAAAAAUAUAGAGCUGUUGUAGGAAAUAUAACAGAAGUGAGCACUGAAGGAAAUGAAGAAGUAAGGUUUGGAUUUAGUAAACGAUGCUUACUUGAUUACACCCAUAUGCAGUCACUGAUGAGCUCUUGAGCAGAACUGAUGAAAAAUUGGAUUGUUUACAUGUAUCAAACGUAGCAAAUGGGAAUCUGAACUCAAUGUGCCAAAAAACCUUGAGAAUAAAAAUGCUAGCAAUAAUUGCUACAUUUUAUGUGUCAAUGGCAUGCCAGCGAGGAUUCUGCAUCAAACCCUAGCCAAUGGAAAAAGGUUGGGUAUGUGAAACUGUAAUAUCACUUAUCUACCAAGCAGGCCACCUGAUGACUGACAACUUUAAUUUCAGCGUGAAAUUGGCUGACUGGCUGUUGAAACAUCCAUCCCUUCUGACAGGGAUGGUAGUCUCUGGAUAUUUACUACUAGAACCUUCAACACUCAUCCUCCUGCUCCACUCAUCUUCAUUCCCAGCAGCAAAGAGAACAGCCUUGGCCAAAAUCACAGCUCUCCAUUGAGGAGUGGGGCAGUGAUGGCUUCUCACUUUGUCCUCACAUUGUCCUCACAUCUCGAGGUCACAUUGCCCCUGCCUCUGUGUAAAGGUCCUUGUGCUCAUGAGAGAAUAUAAGUACUGGGGGUUGUGUCCACAGAGCACAGGCAUCCAGGUCUUUGAGGUGGGUGUGGGAGUAAAAAUCAAAGAUAUUUUAUUUUAUAUGGAAUGAAUAUGUGGAUCAGGAGUGCAGAUUUUGGAUCAGAAUCCUUAUUGUUUUCUUCUCAGGCAAAGAUAGACCCACAGAAGAAAACAGCUUGACUUUUUUCUUGGCCUGUAUGUGGCUGACCUUGCAUGAGAAAGAUAUGAAUAUGACCUUGUAUUGGGUUAAUAGCACACAUUACCUUACAGCACAGAAUGAAACCAUCUGUCUUUUCAAAAUAAAUACUAAUUGGGAGAGAGAAUAGUCAAAAUAAUCAUGACUACUGUACACUUACUAUAUUACUACAUACUGAAUAUUGCAGUGUUCUCCUGCCUGCACAGAAGAGAUAUUUAAAUAUCUGAUUAUUAUCUGUAAUUUGGUGAGCUGGAAGAAAAGUGCAUCUUGUUUUUAAGCUGCAGUCUCAUAGAUACAAAGACCUGAUGUGGUCCUGAAGCCGACUGCUUUGAAUGUCUUUGCUUAUUUAGGAUCUUCAUUAGUACUUGCAAUCAUUUAAUUAUUCUGAUAUUGAUAUUUGACAUCCACUCUGGGCUGAGAGAAUGUUUACAGCUAGACAAAAAUUCAAACAGGAGCUAGAGAGUGGAUUCCCAAAUCCUUCCAAAUCAGCCUUGAAUUGUGAGCUCCCUCCUGCAGGGCAGCUUUCUACCAGAGGAACCAUCAACAGUUCCAGGGGCUUUGCCAAAACACCACAUGAAGAUUUUGCUUUGCCUCCAAUUCUGUAUUUAAUCACACUGAGAGCUCUCCAGAGCAGUCUAGGUUCUUAGUAAAAGUCUCAUUGUGAAAAAGGUCUAUAGAAGACCUUCCUCCAUUAACUGCAAGGAGGGACAUUCCAUCAGCCUAUGCCUGAGAAUCCAAGAGACAUUCCUUGGAAAGAGGUGAUUAAUAAAAACCCCAGACCAGAAAACCUAUCUGCCUAAAUAAAAGCCUUUCUUAUGAUUUUUCUGCCUAUUAGGAUCCUAUUUACCAUUGUGAUUCUGCUUUGGCUGCCUGGUACCCCAGAGUAGUUGCAAACCUUGCCCACAGGAAUCUGGAGAGACUUUGCUGUGCCCCAGCAGGACACAGGAUACUGAUGGUGUUUAACUUUGCUAAAAUCACCAUCUCAACAAGGGCCUGAGAGAAUGGUAACGUGCAUAUGAAGCCUGAAUGCUGCAUUGACUUUUGGACUGCAACAGAAGGCUUCCACAGAAUUGAAGGAUUAAUGCUAAUUUCUGUUCAAAAAGGAAAAAAAUAGAACUGAUGAGGAUAACUUGUACACAUAGAGCAUGCUGAACACUGCAUCAGCCCAGAGACUAUUAGCACAUAAUUAAUUGAAAUGGCUUGGCACUUGGGCUUAUGUUACUGACACUAUGAGAGUUAAUGUUGGCCCACUUUCCAUGCUCAUUACAAUCCAUGUCAGUAGGAUGGACACAUUUGGAACCACUUCCUUCUCUUUGUUGCAGUAUUUGCCAAUAGCAGGGAUGCUGUGGACAGGAGAAAACAUCUCUGGCAUUGCAAUGGAGGAACAAAUUAUUCUCUGGUGCACAUUUUAAUUGCAGCAUAAUCUGGUCAGAGAAAAUUAACUCCUUCUGAUAUGGUCCAGGGAAUUGUUUUGUGAUGCUAUGAAAGGAUGCUUUGAUUUGUGGUGCUAGGUAAUCAUAAACAGCCUUGGCUCUUGUUAGCACAUGCUUGGGGGAGCUUGAGGGGCUGUCUCUCCCAAAACCUAUAUGUUGGUAAGUUUGUGAAGUCAUCUCCCAGCAAGAAACUUUUCCCCUUCUCCAGAAUCAGAUCUGCAGAGCAGAACUUUCAUUUCAUCUUUCAAGUUUUUCAUUUAUUUUCAUUUCCUUUUUUUCUUAAGGCAAAUGGGUCUUCUCUUAAGGAUGGGUCUUAUAAUUCUUGAAGAUCUAUUCCUGAAAAAAAAACCCAAAAAACCAGAUAUGCAGUCAGCCCUCAGUGCCUGGUUAAUAGCAGAGAGUGGUUGUGAGUACACCAGAGAACUGCCAGAACUUCUUGCCAGAACAUCCCACCAGGAUCAACCUUGCACAAAGAGAAACCUCCUAAGAGCCCAUCCUGCCAGCCUGUGCUCCUCACAGCUGUGGUCCCUGCACAGAAUCCUGCUUCUCCAGCAUCCCUGCACUUCCCAGCAGCUCUGCAGAUCCCGUGGUGCUGCUGGGAGCAGGCUCCAACGGCUUUUGCAACUUCCCUCACCUCUCCUGCUGGGUAUUAUAAAACAAACCCCACACUCCUCACCUAAAAAUCACUCACAGGAUAUGGAGGAGCUCCAUGGAUACAAAAUUCUGUGUUCCUAUUUACCACCAAAAAGGAAAACUACUGAAACCCGAUGUGAGGGGGAGCAGUGGGGUUCCCCCUGCCCUGGGGGAUGGAGUGACCCCCGUGCUCUGUGCUGCAGCUGGGAUGGGCACUGAGGCUCAGACAGAGGGGACUGGAUGCUCCUGUGGCUCCGUGCUGGAGUCUCCAAGACUGCAAUGUGUAUUUUGAUACCACAAAAUCCCAGAACCCCUCAUAAAAUAUGCAUCGCUUUUUUAAUGCCACGUCUUCUAAUUUUAAAAUUCAGCCCCUAAAUAAUUUAGCAGACUCGUGGAAAAAAAACCCAUAAAUAAAAAACAAACAAGUCUCCAACAAACAAAAAACCCAUCUAGGUUGUGGUACAGUUACUAAACUUGUUAAAUGUUCCCAACAAGUUGCUUAUUUCUUGUGAGGAGUGGCUGUGCCCACUAUCACCAGGCAUUGAGAUUUUUUGCUGCCUGAAAUCCAGAAAUCCCAAUGGUCUGAUCCUGCCAAAGGCAGGGUUGUGCUUAGGGGAUGUGCAACAUCACAUUUGCAGGUUUGUGAAAAAGCAGCUGGUGAGACCCUGCCAUCAGCUUCUACCUUCUCAGCCUGCUGCAAAGUGUGGUUUGUGACAUUAAUAUUAAAAUACAACUCCUCACUGGAUGCCCCACAUCCCACACUUGUCCUGGUCCAGUCCCUCAGGGCCAUCUGGUCACCCAGUCUGGACUCUGGACAGACCUGAGGACACAGAAAUGGAGAGUCCAGACCUUUCCUCAGCACUUGGUUGCAUGAUUAAAGCACCUGAUUUGGUUUGAAUGUGUGCUGUCUGCUUCCAGUUCUUCAGCCUUGUUUCUCUAUGCUAAACUAAAAGGCUCCUGCACCCCAAACUUCCUAUUUUUCCUUGUACAGGGAAUUCUGCCCCACAGAAACAACCCCAAGUUGCCUUCUAAUACCUAUUUGUCAAUAUACAAAGAGGCUCAGUAGUUUUAAAGAUGAAAUAAAGUUGUAAACCUCA
Parus major (Great Tit) is the source of this 4424-nucleotide long non-coding RNA. RefSeq lists it as uncharacterized. NCBI's taxonomy places the organism in Eukaryota, Metazoa, Chordata, Aves, Passeriformes, Paridae. The record is from RefSeq and is a predicted model, not a curated record. The transcript is spliced from 2 exons.